Molecule: long non-coding RNA, 1096 nt
Filed under: Astyanax mexicanus (Mexican tetra)
Lineage: Eukaryota; Metazoa; Chordata; Actinopteri; Characiformes; Acestrorhamphidae
Description: lncRNA (ENSAMXG00005006763.1)
Source: RNAcentral
CACAGGACAUGUUAGAACAGGCAACUGCAGCUUUUUGUUUAACGGUACCUUUUUAGUAUAGAUUCAGGAACAGUUCUAUCCUCUACUGGAACCAAAAAUGAUAGACCAGUUGCUAGAACCAUUUCUCGACACCCAUAAGGGAAAGAACAUUUACUUAAUUUUUGUGGUUAUCUGCCUUAUUGUGUCUGAAAAGUUUAUCGAGGCUGACUUUGUGUGCCCAUGCGAAAGGUUCUAUAGAAACCUUUUUUUCUGGAUUUACCUUCUGAUGCCCGCCUUUAUAGGAUACGUCGCCAUGUUUUACAUUGUGAGGAAUGUGGAAAAGUCUGCUACGACAAGUGGAGGACCAGACAGCCAACCUGAGGGAGGUGGGAGUUCUGAUAUUAAUGCUGGGGUGACUAAUGUUCCACCUCCAAGCAGUGGCACUCCUCUGGGAAAAGUAGAAACCAUGAAAGGCAGCAAAUGCUGCAUAACGUCCAAAACUGUCUGCCAGUGCUUUCAGUACUUGAUUCCUAGUAUUGUUUGGAUUGUCUUGUUCUUAAGUGAUGGAAGAUACGUGGCUUGUUAUCAGACUAUAAGUGCAGAACAUGCUGAAAGCAGUCAGCAGGCUCUUUGGGAAUGGUGUGACCUAAACCAAACCCUGACAGCUGAACAGAACAUAGCAGAGAAAUCAUAUUACACAUCGAAGUUAUCUGGUUUUGGUCUCCUCUUCUUAUUCUCGUUAUUGGCUCUGGUCUAUCAAUGCUUUUAUGUCCAUGGAGAAAGAUGCCCCACUGCAACCCAUAGAUGGACCCGGCUGACUGGCAGAGUGGUCUGAAAGAGUCAUCAGAGCCAUCAACAACCUACACAUUUACAAAUAUCAGCAAUCUGUUUAGAAAUUAUAUGUAAAGACUUUCUAUGAAUAAUUUAUUUGUUUGUAAAUGUAAUUAUGCAAGUGUCAGUUGUAUUCUUUGGUGACUAUGGUGAGCACAAACAAAUAAGAGCUAGAAUAGCUUGCUGGUUUUUACUGGCUUCAAAUUAGCUAGGGAGAUUGGCUUAAGCUUUGAAUAUUUAAAUAGUGUCUAAUAAAACAAAUUGUAACUUUUUGUUUGUGUUGGGA